UGGAGACCGGAUAGAGAGCAUGUACUUAGGGAAGGUUGCUAUCAAUACAAGAUAAGGACCCAAGAUGCUAUUUCACAAGGAAUAUGAAGAAUUCUUGUGUAAAUGGGAAACGUGUCUCUGAGUCUGUCAAAAGCUAAAGGCCAUAGCAGAGUUGUAUACACAGGAAGGUACCCGGUGGGCCUCUUUAAGCCUGAUACCCAAGCUGUCUCCAGGACAAACAAGCUCACGCAAGCCCCUAACUAUCAUGAAGAAGAGAAACUUCAGUUUGAGUGGAAAUUAAAUUGCUCAAGAAUUUUGAUAAAGAGGUGUGUUCUCCAAGUAAUAGAAAAUCUUUUCUACAAACAAUCAACAAUGGAUUAAAUUUCAUGGUUCAAGAGGUCUUUUGGAGAGGAAUUUUCAGAAAAGAUCCAGGAAUAAUGGCCGCAGUGAAGCCCUCACUUAAAUGCACUCCAAAGACACAGGGACAUAUGCUCUCCUCCCCAGUCCCUGGCUGGAUCUGAAAAAGGAGGAAAAAGUAAUUAAGCCAUUCUCUCUAAAUUGAGAGAAAACCUGAUUUAGAAUGGCAUAGAACAUACAGAUAUUCUUCGCUGAUACUCAAGAAAAUGAUUGCGAGGAAUUAGUGACUGCCGACCACAGUUUUCAAGUUUGAGGAAUCUACUGACUUCAUGUUAAAAGAGAUGGUGAGACAUGGCGCUGCAUGGAUGAAACUCCAGCAUUCAGGAGCUUGAGGCAGGG
Molecule: long non-coding RNA, 735 nt
Filed under: Rattus norvegicus (Norway rat)
Lineage: Eukaryota; Metazoa; Chordata; Mammalia; Rodentia; Muridae
Description: long non-coding RNA NONRATT031824
Source: RNAcentral